RNAcentral lists this ribosomal RNA (467 nucleotides) under uncultured bacterium. RNAcentral's name for it is "bacterial SSU rRNA". It matches the Rfam family "Bacterial small subunit ribosomal RNA", at positions 335 to 794 of the family's 1533-position model. The record is from RNAcentral.
ACUCCUACGGGAGGCAGCAGUGGGGAAUAUUGCACAAUGGGCGCAAGCCUGAUGCAGCCAUGCCGCGUGUGUGAAGAAGGCCUUCGGGUUGUAAAGCACUUUCAGUUGUGAGGAAGGUGGUGUCGUUAAUAGCGGCAUCAUUUGACGUUAGCAACAGAAGAAGCACCGGCUAACUCCGUGCCAGCAGCCGCGGUAAUACGGAGGGUGCGAGCGUUAAUCGGAAUUACUGGGCGUAAAGCGCAUGCAGGUGGUUUGUUAAGUCAGAUGUGAAAGCCCGGGGCUCAACCUCGGAACUGCAUUUGAAACUGGCAGACUAGAGUACUGUAGAGGGGGGUAGAAUUUCAGGUGUAGCGGUGAAAUGCGUAGAGAUCUGAAGGAAUACCAGUGGCGAAGGCGGCCCCCUGGACAAAGACUGACGCUCAGAUGCGAAAGCGUGGGGAGCAAACAGGAUUAGAUACCCUGGUAGC